AUUGAACGCUGGCGGAAUGCUUUACACAUGCAAGUCGAACGGCAGCACGGACUUCGGUCUGGUGGCGAGUGGCGAACGGGUGAGUAAUGUAUCGGAACGUGCCCAGUCGUGGGGGAUAACGUAGUGAAAAUUACGCUAAUACCGCAUACGAUCUAUGGAUGAAAGCGGGGGAUCGCAAGACCUCGCGCGAUUGGAGCGGCCGAUAUCAGAUUAGGUAGUUGGUGGGGUAAAGGCCCACCAAGCCAACGAUCUGUAGCUGGUCUGAGAGGACGACCAGCCACACUGGAACUGAGACACGGUCCAGACUCCUACGGGAGGCAGCAGUGGGGAAUUUUGGACAAUGGGCGAAAGCCUGAUCCAGCCAUUCCGCGUGCAGGAUGAAGGCCCUCGGGUUGUAAACUGCUUUUGUACGGGAAGAGAUCCUUUCGGUUAAUACCCGGAGGGGAUGACGGUACCGUAAGAAUAAGCACCGGCUAACUUCGUGCCAGCCGCCGCGGUAA
Molecule: ribosomal RNA, 500 nt
Filed under: uncultured bacterium
Lineage: Bacteria
Description: partial 16S ribosomal RNA
Rfam family: Bacterial small subunit ribosomal RNA
Source: RNAcentral